RNAcentral lists this non-coding RNA (100 nucleotides) under Manacus vitellinus (golden-collared manakin). RNAcentral describes it as "Eukaryotic large subunit ribosomal RNA". It matches the Rfam family "Eukaryotic large subunit ribosomal RNA", at positions 1233 to 1332 of the family's 3401-position model. Lineage: Eukaryota; Metazoa; Chordata; Aves; Passeriformes; Pipridae. The record is from Rfam by way of RNAcentral.
AGGCUGAGCAGGAUGCUGGCCACGGAAGUUGGAAUCUGCUAAGGAGUGUGUAACAACUCACCUGCCGAAUCAACCAGCCCUGGAAAUGGAUGGUGCUGGA